Molecule: long non-coding RNA, 1052 nt
Filed under: Mytilus galloprovincialis (Mediterranean mussel)
Lineage: Eukaryota; Metazoa; Mollusca; Bivalvia; Mytilida; Mytilidae
Source: RNAcentral
GUUCCGCCUGAAAAUCUUUUAUUUGUAUUUACCAGCAAGAUUUGAUUUGAUUUUAUUUUUUCGUUCCUACCAAAAAUCUUAUAUUUGUAUUUCACGCUCAAAACUUUUUUACCGGAAUCCUCGGGUUAUAUCUUUACGUAUAAGGUCCAGUCCGUUUGGUAUCACCUGAGCGUUUGACAUGAACACUUGCAUUUGAAGUUUCAAAGCAUUUGUUUGAAAUCGUUCCGGGGUGACCUUAUCCUUUAUUUUGUAUGUGUUUUUUUAUAUUGUGCAUUUUUUUAUAUUUUUGAGGAUGAGCGAGUCAGGUGAGUGGGUGUGUUCGUAUGCUUUAUUACAUUGUACUUAUUGUUUUGGGGAAGGUUAACUUUCUGGUAGUAAGACCCGUCACGGCCAGGCUGGGAAACUGGAUAGGCAAAUGCUCACAUUAAAUCUGUAUCGAUACAGUGUGUUAAAUGUCUUCCUUUUUACACCAUAACCCAUGGUGGUGCUCCUACUAAAGGAGGGAUAUACGGAACAUACAUACAAUCGAUGUUGAACGCUUUCUGAAAUCAUGAUAUGAAGUACGUUACUCUGUACCUUUAAACUUAAAGAGCAGGGUUCAUUUACAAAAAAGUUCGUUUGAUACAAAAGUAUUUACGUGUGUACAAACUAAUUUGUAAACGGACGUUGUAUUCUAUGUAGGGAUGGCCUUUUGUGAUCCGCAUAUCAGAAUGAUUAUGUUAACGAUGCCGCUAAAUUAUUUAUAUCUGACAUGAACCAAAAGUGAUAAAAUCCUGUAAAGUGGAGAAUAUCUGGCAGUAAAAUAGCCAAGUUUUCCAUACAGAUCAUUUAUAAAUGUGAUGCAAAAUACGUGACAAUUGAGUUUUAAGUCUUAUAGCAUUUUUAUUGGAAAAAAAGGCACACACGAAAUUUGUAACACUCUAGGGACUUUUUCUACUAGUAACAUAUGUCUGCCCGGACAUUAUCUUACCAGUACAAAGUUAUCUCUUAUAUAUUUUUUUUUCAAAACUAAUAGUCCCAGCGGAAAGCUUAUUUGCAAAAACAAAACGGAC